This 65-nucleotide transfer RNA is filed under the name Eucorydia linglong. RNAcentral's name for it is "tRNA-Asp". The record is from RNAcentral. Lineage: Eukaryota; Metazoa; Arthropoda; Insecta; Blattodea; Corydiidae.
GAGAAUUUAGUUAAUUCCAUAACAUUAGUAUGUCAAUCUAAAAUUAUCUGAUAAGGUAAUUCUCC